AGUGAACGCUGGCGGUAGGCCUAACACAUGCAAGUCGAACGGCAGCACAGUAAGAGCUUGCUCUUACGGGUGGCGAGUGGCGGACGGGUGACGAAUACAUCGGAAUCUACUUUUUCGUGGAUGAUUACGGAGGAAAACUUACGCUAAUACCUCAUACUUCCUACGGGUUAAAUCAAGGGAGCUUCGGACCUUUCGCGAUUGAUUGAGCCGAUGUCGGAUUAGCUAGUUGGCGAGGUAAAGGCCCACCAAGGCGACGAUCCGUAGCUGGUCUGAGAGGAUGAUCAGCCACACUGGAACUGAGACACGGUCCAGACUCCUACGGGAGGCAGCAGUGGGGAAUAUUGGACAAUGGGCGCAAGCCUGAUCCAGCCAUACCGCGUGGGUGAAGAAGGCCUUCGGGUUGUAAAGCCCUUUUGUUGGGAAAGAAAAGCAGCAGGUUAAUACCCCGAUGUUCUGACGGUACCCAAAGAAUAAGCACCGGCUAACUUCGUG
This 492-nucleotide ribosomal RNA is filed under the name uncultured bacterium. RNAcentral describes it as "partial 16S ribosomal RNA". It matches the Rfam family "Bacterial small subunit ribosomal RNA", at positions 29 to 507 of the family's 1533-position model. The record is from RNAcentral.